Thunnus maccoyii (southern bluefin tuna) is the source of this 318-nucleotide long non-coding RNA. RefSeq lists it as uncharacterized. The transcript is spliced from 3 exons. The record is from RefSeq and is a predicted model, not a curated record. Lineage: Eukaryota; Metazoa; Chordata; Actinopteri; Scombriformes; Scombridae.
AAUCGGAAGCCAACUUCAGCGUGUAUAAAACAACCGGGACCAAGUUCUGCAGUGUUAAUGUUAUCAGCUGUGUGCAUGUAAUUUAACCUCUGACGUCGGCAUCUAGUGUGCAUUUCUGGAGUUUUUGUGAAAAAUAGACGCACUGAACGACUUAGAAAGCACGUGGGACCCCACACAUUACAAAAAAUGCUGUUGCUGUCGUAAAUGAACACCAUCACUGGUUCCUGGUUGUAAUAUAUACAUCUGAAAAGAGGACACUACCGAUGGAUUCACUUGGAGAAACUGCUGCAAAGCUGAAAAAGGUACCAGGAUGUAACA